Cygnus atratus (black swan) is the source of this 2665-nucleotide long non-coding RNA. RefSeq lists it as uncharacterized. The transcript has 3 exons. Lineage: Eukaryota; Metazoa; Chordata; Aves; Anseriformes; Anatidae. The record is from RefSeq and is a predicted model, not a curated record.
UCUUGUUUUAAAGCCAAAUCUGGUAUUGGCACAAGAAUGAGAGAAGAAAUGCGAAGAUUACCAGCACGCAGAGGGAGGAGCAUGGAAAAUCUUGUAUCAGAGACUGACUCAUGCAGAAGAUUGUGCUGGAGAGCUACCUUCCUAGUAUCUCUGACUGCUCAACAUGUUAAUGCUAAGCUAAAAAUUGUGAGAGAUGUGUUGGGAAAGCCUGCUGCUGCACAAAUGCAGUGUCCUCAGAUGUUGAAUCACUUGUGCUGUUUGAUAAUCCGACCUCCUGAAGGAUUUGAAUGGCCCUCUCGACAAGACAUUUAGGAGACCAGAACUGGGGAACUACGUGCGCCUUGUCCUGGGCGUCUGCUGCUCUGAUGGCAGAGGCAUGGUGCUGGAGCUGCCUGGGCUUGACCUGACCCGGUCUGUGGGUUUUUUCACGUUAAAAUGAACGUACAGCAGCUGGUUCCUCUCCUGAGGCUUGGAAUUGUGCCUCGUCUUGAGCUAAUACUGAUAACUCUGACAGCUUCUAACCUGUUAAACGUGGAGCCUGGUCGCUCGUCCUUUCAAGUGACCGAGAGCGUAGAGUACUGCGUGGAGUUCUCCGGGCUGCCCUUCUGCGAGCAGCGUUGUCGCUGCUAAAGCACAGUGACACGUUUGGUGUUAGAGCAUGCUCCUGUAAGUAAGUGCUGUUCUGGAACACAGAGGAUGUUCGUAAUGGUGCGAAAGAGGUAAUGAUUUCACAGCAUCUGAUGGAAUGGAGAUACGUCACCUGUGGAUCAAAAUGACCUCGGUUCUCGUCUUGCUCUGUUACAAGUGUCAAGUGCACGGAGUUACUGGAGACGUUAAAAAAACAGCCGACGCUUCUGAGCUCUGUUAACUAUCACACACCAUUGUAGGGGGUGGAUAAUGACUUUCAAGUCUUACUUUUGAUAAAAGGAACGUAUGUUGUGAAUAAAAAGCCACUGUAGCAUUCAGUUUUAGAUGUUGGGAAACUACACGCCUCUAAAGACUUCGUCUUGGAUUUCUUGAAUCUGUAUUCUGAGAAUGUGAAGAUCUUUUUGAGGGUGUAACUUUUCAAAUCGUUUUCAAAGCUGUAACUACAAAUAGAAAUGAAGCAGGCCGUCAUCUUAAACAGAGGGGGAAUUUGAGUUAGUUGUAAUAUGCAGUAAGGUGUCUUAAAGAUUUCUUUUAAAACUUCCUUGAAGUUAGUUCAGGCCGGUGUGCGGUUUGUUUUACGUUUAAAUAAGAGCGAGGCUUGGGUGUGGCAGAAGUAGGCCUGCCACAUGUCUUUGCGAUACUGCUCUGAAUCACACCAGCUGACUGCAGCUUUAUUUCCACAGCAGAACACUUGGCUGCUUCAGGGAUGGGGAGCCACGAGGCAGUGCCAGGAACAAGUUGGUGGUGUCGGGCUGGUGUUUUUAGCUUACUGUGCAAACAGUUCUUCAUUAACACAGUUCGUUUUACCCAGCCUUUGAUAUCAAAAAAAUAAAUUCUGAGCUGACCAAUAGUCAGUUCUUAUAAAUUAAACUCUUUCUUGUAAAGACAAGUUCCCUAGAGAACUUCUGAGCAAUUUAUAACCCUUGCCCUUCGUUGUUUUUGCUGAUGUUUUAUUUCUUUUUUUCCCUGCUAAGACUGCAGUCGGUCUUCUUGCUGUGUUUGCUGUUUGUUUUUAGAUAUUUGAAGUAAAAAAAAUAAAAAUCAGGUGUGAUUUAUAUGAUUUAGAUAUGAGAAGGAAGAUUUUUGUCCAAGUCCCCUUCCCACUCCUCCGUUCCAACUGCUUGCAAAAUGACUUGGUUCAUGGUGUGUUUUAACAAGUUUUAGGACAUUUGUGACAGAAUUAGGGGAUGAAUUAGCCUCUUGUGUAGAGAAAUUAGUCUUUUUUUUUUUUGCAUUUGUUUGAUGUAGAAAACUUCCCCACACUUUAAACCUUAAAAGUCUGAGCAAGUGCUUUGAGUCUUACACUCCAGGCUUCUCAACCACCUCAGAGCUUGUGGGGUAAGAUGAGAGACUAGAGCUGUGGUCCGUGGACUGAAAUUGAAUACUUGAUGUCCUUAAAGCUGCUACAAGGCCAACAAGAUGCUUAAUGAACUGGUGCACAUGGAAAAAGCUUUCACUGGGCUCUGACCUUGCAGCUACAGAUGGUGACCUGAGGACGCUGCCUGUCGUGGAGGGCUGGAACUUGUUAGCUUUCCAUUAGCAGCAAUUUAUUGACUUCCAGAAUAACUUAGGGUCAGACUGAAGUUUUUGGUGUUUUAGGCUGGAGUUUGCUCUCGAAUAUGAUGGGAUUUCAUGAGGAUGAGAGGGUGGCACGUCAGCAUCCUGCAGGUGCUUUGAGCAGGGGGACCGCAGGCUUCAGGCACGCGUUGAGUUCCUCCACCUGCUCUCAGGAGGGAGCAAGAGGAGGCUUCAAGUAGGGUUUAAUGUCACCCUACAAGGAAGUCUCACCUGGGAACUUGAACAAGAAAUUGCACCUGUGGGUAGGAAGCUGAAGUGUCUAUUGAUGCGGUAAUAUGGAAAAUUCCAACUACUAAAUGCAGAAUAAUGAUGCCUUUAAUGUAUUUGUCUGCCUGUAAUACUGUUUUUGGUGGCUGGGCAGCCGGACAGAGUUGUUAGAUGUGCUGUGAGUAUCUUAUCAAAUUAAGGCUGAAAAAUAAACAGUUCUCACUUAAAAUCC